RNAcentral lists this ribosomal RNA (552 nucleotides) under Brocchinia fischeri. RNAcentral describes it as "partial 12S ribosomal RNA". The record is from RNAcentral. Lineage: Eukaryota; Metazoa; Mollusca; Gastropoda; Neogastropoda; Cancellariidae.
CGGUUAAACCAAAAGAUUAAGUCAUAUUUAUACGGUUAAAAGGUGGUUAAAUUGAUAAUAAAGUUUUGCAAUUUAUUUUUGUAAAGGUAAAAUUUAUAUAUAAAUGAAUGGUUCUAUAAUAACUAAUAAAUUGAAUCCACGAUAUCUUUUAGGGAAACUGGGAUUAGAUACCCCAUUAUUUUUAGACUUAAAUUUGUUUUUACCUGAGUAUUACGAACGUGUAAAUUUAAAACUCAAAGGGCUUGGCGGUGUUUUAGACCUCCCAGGGGAACAUGUCUCGUAAUCGAUAGUCCACGAUAUAUCUGACCUUCUUUUGUAAACAGUUUGCAUACCGUUAUCGGCAGGUGACUUUUAAAAAGAUAGAAGUUAGCAAGUUAAAUUAAUUAAUUAGGACGUUAAAUCAAGGCGCAGCUAAUAAGAAGGGGUGGAUGUGUUACAAUUAAGAUUUAUAAUAUGGAUUAAAAAGUGAAAUUUUUUAUGAAGGCGGACUUGGAAGUAAAGUAGAUUAUAAAGAUAUAUUGAAUACGGCUCUGAAACGUGUACAAAUUGCCC